ACAACAGCAAUGAAGAGAAGAGUAAUUGGAACCUAUUGUUCACAGAGAGCUCCAGCCUGGUGAAAUGGAGCAGCGAUGAUUCCAACGAAUAAAGUCUCCGAGCUUCAUACGGAAUUGAGCCGAUUGCUCAAGGAUGGUAUGACGGGAUCUCCCGUUACAGAGAUAGGGUAUAAGCGUAAUGGCCGUACCCGAAGAGGUGAGCAGGGUAACCUGUUCGCAAACAGAGGUGGUACCACGACGCUAAUUAUAGCUCUCGUCCUCAAG
RNAcentral lists this non-coding RNA (264 nucleotides) under Paenibacillus sp. Its description in RNAcentral is "T-box sequence". It matches the Rfam family "T-box leader". Rfam says of the family: Uncharged tRNA acts as the effector for transcription antitermination of genes in the T-box leader family. Lineage: Bacteria; Bacillati; Bacillota; Bacilli; Caryophanales; Paenibacillaceae. The record is from RNAcentral.